GGGGGCGAUCGGUUUCGACGGGGGUGGACGGUAACCAGGUGGCACGCCGCGGCUUCCCGUCGCCGCGUUAAAAAGGCGGGAAAAGAUAAACGCCGAUAACUACGCUUACGCCUGCUAAUUAACUAGCGGGCCGCCCGCCGGAUGAGCCUUCCCGCGGCGCACCGGCCGGGCGUCGGAAUAGCGGGCUAAGCCGAGGCGGCGGCCCCUUCCGCCGAGGUCGAAAAUCCCCAAGGGGGCUGGCGCGCGACGUGCCCGCCCGUGGGCUUAGGCGCGCGCGAGACCGAUACGCGGGACAAGCGUGUAGAGGCCUGGCGGCCGCACUUCCGGACGCGGGUUCGAUUCCCGCCGCCUCCAAUA
Molecule: transfer-messenger RNA, 357 nt
Filed under: bacterium
Lineage: Bacteria
Also listed under: 1 other name
Description: WVWN01 sp011773985 Standard tmRNA
Rfam family: transfer-messenger RNA
About the family: Bacterial tmRNA, also known as 10Sa RNA or SsrA, is named for its dual tRNA and mRNA-like properties. Its role is to liberate the mRNA from a stalled ribosome. To accomplish this part of the tmRNA is used as a reading frame that ends in a translation stop signal.
Source: RNAcentral